AUUGAACGCUGGCGGCAUGCCUUACACAUGCAAGUCGAACGGCAGCAUGAUCUAGCUUGCUAGAUUGAUGGCGAGUGGCGAACGGGUGAGUAAUACAUCGGAACGUGCCCUGUAGUGGGGGAUAACUAGUCGAAAGAUUAGCUAAUACCGCAUACGACCUGAGGGUGAAAGUGGGGGACCGCAAGGCCUCAUGCUAUAGGAGCGGCCGAUGUCUGAUUAGCUAGUUGGUGAGGUAAAGGCUCACCGAGGCGACGAUCAGUAGCUGGUCUGAGAGGACGAUCAGCCACACUGGGACUGAGACACGGCCCAGACUCCUACGGGAGGCAGCAGUGGGGAAUUUUGGACAAUGGGCGAAAGCCUGAUCCAGCAAUGCCGCGUGUGUGAAGAAGGCCUUCGGGUUGUAAAGCACUUUUGUCCGGAAAGAAAUGGCUCUGGUUAAUACCUGGGGUCGAUGACGGUACCGGAAGAAUAAGGACCGGCUAACUACGUG
Molecule: ribosomal RNA, 490 nt
Filed under: uncultured bacterium
Lineage: Bacteria
Description: partial 16S ribosomal RNA
Rfam family: Bacterial small subunit ribosomal RNA
Source: RNAcentral